CUGUACAUCUAACUACUUUUCCCUGUCUAGAGCAAGCAUGCAGUCUUGAAUGUGAAUAUUAGACUUGCUUGAAAACCCAUCAAGGAAUUAAACUAUGAAGUAUGACCAGACCAACCCAGAUCAUGCUGCAUUACAUGUCCUGCUUACUGCAUGAACACACCCUGUGGAUCACACCAGAUAGGCUGUGUUCCUUUGGGCUCGUCUUGAGGGAGAAGGCCGAAGCAAACGACUGCACACAAAAGUCGAGGAGUGAAGUCGGGGGAGGUGCAUCUGCGACAUCCGAAAUGUCGGACACUGCUGUGGUUUUCCAACAGCUAGGCUCUGUGCAGUAUUGCCAUUGUUUCUAAACAAUGUUCUUUGUAAUGUUGAAAUAAAUGUCUCUAACACCCAUAUCACACA
Long non-coding RNA from Oncorhynchus nerka (sockeye salmon), 399 nucleotides. RefSeq lists it as uncharacterized. The record is from RefSeq and is a predicted model, not a curated record. The transcript is spliced from 2 exons. Lineage: Eukaryota; Metazoa; Chordata; Actinopteri; Salmoniformes; Salmonidae.